GAUGAACGCUGGCGGCGUGCCUAAUACAUGCAAGUCGAGCGAACGGACGCGACGCUUGCUUCUCUGAUGUUAGCGGCGGACGGGUGAGUAACACGUGGAUAACCUACCUAUAAGACUGGGAUAACUUCGGGAAACCGUAGCUAAUACCGGAUAAUAUUUUGAACCGCAUGGUUCAAAAGUGAAAGACGGUCUUGCUGUCACUUAUAGAUGGAUCCGCGCUGCAUUGGCUAGUUGGUAAGGUAACGGCUUACUAAGGCAAGUAUGCAUAUCCGACGUCUUAGGGUGAUAGCCCACCUUGGAGCGUGGCCACCCUCCAGACUCCUACGGUAGGCCGCAGUAUGCAACCGUCCGCAAUGGUCGAAAGCCUUACGGAGCAGCGCCGCGUGAGUUAUGAAGGUCUCCGGUGCGUAAUACCGUGUUAUUAGUGAAGAACAUAUGUGGAAGUAACCGUGGACAUCUUGACGGUACCUAAUCAGAAAGCCCCGGCUAACUACGUG
This 497-nucleotide ribosomal RNA is filed under the name uncultured bacterium. RNAcentral's name for it is "partial 16S ribosomal RNA". It matches the Rfam family "Bacterial small subunit ribosomal RNA", at positions 28 to 507 of the family's 1533-position model. The record is from RNAcentral.